RNAcentral lists this ribosomal RNA (248 nucleotides) under uncultured bacterium. RNAcentral's name for it is "partial 16S ribosomal RNA". It matches the Rfam family "Bacterial small subunit ribosomal RNA", at positions 530 to 776 of the family's 1533-position model. The record is from RNAcentral.
GGGAGCAAGCGUUGUUCGGAUUUACUGGGCGUAAAGGGCGUGUAGGCGGCCACCGCAAGUCAGUUGUGAAAUCUCCGGGCUUAACCCGGAAAGGUCAACUGAUACUGCGGGGCUAGAGUGCAGAAGGGGCAACUGGAAUUCUCGGUGUAGCGGUGAAAUGCGUAGAUAUCGAGAGGAACACCUGCGGCGAAGGCGGGUUGCUGGGCUGACACUGACGCUGAACUGCGAAAGCUAGGGGAGCGAACGGG